UUGACCUCAAAUCAGGUAGGACUACCCGCUGAACUUAAGCAUAUCAAUAAGCGGAGGAAAAGAAACUAACAAGGAUUCCCCUAGUAACUGCGAGUGAAGCGGGAUAAGCUCAAAUUUGAAAUCUGGCAGUCUUUUUUUUCUUCUUUGGCUGUCCGAGUUGUAAUCUAGAGAAGUGCUACCUGCACUGGA
This 189-nucleotide ribosomal RNA is filed under the name Amanita rhacopus. Its description in RNAcentral is "partial 28S ribosomal RNA". It matches the Rfam family "Eukaryotic large subunit ribosomal RNA", at positions 1 to 174 of the family's 3401-position model. The record is from RNAcentral. Lineage: Eukaryota; Fungi; Basidiomycota; Agaricomycetes; Agaricales; Amanitaceae.